AUGGACUCAGGAGGCGAUCGAGAAGUGGACUCGGGAGAAAUGCGAGAGGGUUCAUCUAGAGGAGCGGGAAAAGAUGUUGCAGGAGGAACGAUAAAGGAUAUUGUUGGAGAUCAGUUGGACAUCCAUGAGAAAGUAGUUGAGAAAUUUGUUAUGGGUGGUGCAAGCACGAAAGAUAGUUGUUCUGCCCCGCAUCACAAUAUUGAGACCACACCUCCUCAAGUAGAUAACACUAAGAGACUACCAAAGAUGAUAGACGGGAUUACAUAA
This is a non-coding RNA of Vicia faba (fava bean), 267 nucleotides long. NCBI's taxonomy places the organism in Eukaryota, Viridiplantae, Streptophyta, Magnoliopsida, Fabales, Fabaceae. The record is from the annotation of a GenBank genome assembly.